CAGGCCUAACACAUGCAAGUCGAGCGCCCUGCUUGCAGGGAGCGGCAGACGGGUGAGUAACGCGUGGGAAUUUACCCAUCUCUACGGAACAACAGUUGGAAACGACUGCUAAUACCGUAUACGCCCUACGGGGGAAAGAUUUAUCGGAGAUGGAUGAGCCCGCGUUGGAUUAGCUAGUUGGUGGGGUAAUGGCCUACCAAGGCGACGAUCCAUAGCUGGUCUGAGAGGAUGAUCAGCCACACUGGGACUGAGACACGGCCCAGACUCCUACGGGAGGCAGCAGUGGGGAAUAUUGGACAAUGGGCGAAAGCCUGAUCCAGCCAUGCCGCGUGAGUGAUGAAGGCCCUAGGGUUGUAAAGCUCUUUCAACGGUGAUGAUAAUGACAGUAGCCGUAGAAGAAGCCCCGGCUAACUUCGUGCCAGCAGCCGCGGUAAUACGAAGGGGGCUAGCGUUGUCCGGAAUUACUGGGCGUAAAGCGCACGUAGGCGGAUUGGACAGUCAGAGGUGAAAUCCCAGGGCUCAACCCUGGAACUGCCUUUGAUACUUCCAGUCUAGAGGUCGAGAGAGGUGAGUGGAAUUCCGAGUGUAGAGGUGAAAUUCGUAGAUAUUCGGAGGAACACCAGUGGCGAAGGCGGCUCACUGGCUCGAU
Molecule: ribosomal RNA, 649 nt
Filed under: uncultured bacterium
Lineage: Bacteria
Description: bacterial SSU rRNA
Rfam family: Bacterial small subunit ribosomal RNA
Source: RNAcentral